This 443-nucleotide ribosomal RNA is filed under the name uncultured bacterium. Its description in RNAcentral is "partial 16S ribosomal RNA". It matches the Rfam family "Bacterial small subunit ribosomal RNA", at positions 338 to 795 of the family's 1533-position model. The record is from RNAcentral.
CCUACGGGGUGCAGCAGUGGGGAAUAUUGGACAAUGGGGGAAACCCUGAACCAGCGAUGCCGCGUGAGGGAUGAAGUAUUUCGGUAUGUAAAGCUCUAUCAGCAGGGAAGAAAGAAAUGACGGUACUUGAUUAAGAAGCCCCGGCUAACUACGUGCCAGCAGCCGCGGUAAUACGUAGGGGGCAAGCGUUAUCCGGAUUUACUGGGUGUAAAGGGGGUGUAGGCGGUUACGUAAGUCUGGAGUGAAAGCCGGGGGCUCAACCCCCGGACUGCUUUGGAAACUGGUUAACUGGAGUGUAGGAGAGGUAAGUGGAAUUCCUAGUGUAGCGGUGAAAUGCGUAGAUAUUAGGAAGAACACCAGAGGCGAAGGCGGCUUACUGGACUGUAACUGACGCUGAGGCUCGAAAGCGUGGGGAGCAAACAGGAUUAGAUACCCUAGUAGUC